This 253-nucleotide ribosomal RNA is filed under the name uncultured bacterium. RNAcentral describes it as "partial 16S ribosomal RNA". It matches the Rfam family "Bacterial small subunit ribosomal RNA", at positions 524 to 776 of the family's 1533-position model. The record is from RNAcentral.
UACGGAGGGAGCUAGCGUUGUUCGGAAUUACUGGGCGUAAAGCGCGCGUAGGCGGCUUGUUAAGUCAGGGGUGAAAUCCCGGGGCUCAACCCCGGAACUGCCCUUGAAACUGGAGAGCUAGAAUCUUGGAGAGGCGAGUGGAAUUCCGAGUGUAGAGGUGAAAUUCGUAGAUAUUCGGAAGAACACCAGUGGCGAAGGCGACUUACUGGACGCAUAUUGACGCUGAGGUGCGAAAGCGUGGGGAGCAAACAGG